UACGGAGGGUGCAAGCGUUGCUCGGAAUCACUGGGCGUAAAGGGUGCGUAGGCGGUCUCGCAAGUCUGGCGUGAAAGCCCAAGGCUCAGCCUUGGAAGUGCGCUCGAAACGGCGAGGCUGGAGUGCCGGAGGGGAGAGUGGAAUUCCCGGUGUAGCGGUGAAAUGCGCAGAUAUCCGGAGGAACACCGGUGGCGAAGGCGGCUUCCUGGACCGACACUGACGCUGAGGCGCGAAAGCUAGGGGAGCAAACGGG
Molecule: ribosomal RNA, 253 nt
Filed under: uncultured bacterium
Lineage: Bacteria
Description: partial 16S ribosomal RNA
Rfam family: Bacterial small subunit ribosomal RNA
Source: RNAcentral